AUGGAAGACGCUCCAGUCGUUCGUCGGAGUUCUAGGAUCCGCUCGAAUAAGUUCAGUAGAAUCUGCCGGGGCAAGAAACCGGCAGACAGGAUGAUUUCCGUGCGCUGUUUCCAGUUCAGUGUGUGGACGACCAGGCUGGAUUAAAUGGCGUGGUUAUUUAUGAGAACGACAUUUUCCCCAUUUCAAAUCCCAGAUCUCAAAUCCCAGUAAGUUUCCUUAUUCCUCUCUCUCUUUUCUAUUUUUCUCAUUUUCAUUCUAAUAAAUGCCGGUAGCGUUAUUAACACCAACAGUGUAUUAUUCCCACACAGGAAUUUUAACGUAGGACUUUCUCCCCCCAUGUUUUGUAGCUUCCAGUUCAGUGUGUGGACGACCCGCUGCCUGAAAACGCCGUGGAGGUUUACGGAAACGAGGAAUUCCAGAAGAGAAAUCCGCUACCUGUAAGAUUCCUUUUGUAAUGGCUGCUCCUUUAAAACAAAAUGGGGCUGUUAAUUGAUUUGCGCUCCAGUCACGUGCCUCCUAUUGCAUUCUGGGUACUGACCAGUGACCUGUUUGGGAAAGGAAACUACUACUGCCACUGCUACUAGUACCACUAUUACUAUUGCUACUACUGCUGCUACUACUGCUAUUGCUACUACUGCUACUACUACUGCUACUACUGCUACCACUAUUACUACUGCUACUACUACUGCUACUACUACUACUGCUGCUACUACUACUGCUACUACUACUGCUACUACUGCUACUACUACUGCUACUACUACUACUACUACUACUACUGCUACUACUACUAUUACUGCUACUACUGCUACUGCUACUACUACUACUACUACUGCUACUACUGCUACUACUACUACUGCUAAAACUACUACUACUGCUGCUGCUGCUACUAUUACUACUACUACUACUACUACUGCUACUACUGCUACUACUACUGCUACUACUACUAUUACUGCUACUACUACUACUACUGCUGCUGCUGCUACUACUACUGCUACUACUACUACUACUGCUACUACUACUACUACUACUACUACUACUGCUGCUGCUGCUGCUGCUACUACUACUGCUACUACUACUGCUACUACUACUGCUACUACUACUACUACUACUACUACUACUACUGCUGCUGCUGCUGCUACUACUGCUGCUACUACUACUACUACUACUACUACUACUACUACUACUACUGCUACUACUACUACUGCUGCUGCUAAAACUACUACUACUGCUACUACUACUAUUACUACUACUACUCUACUACUGCUACUACUACUACUACUACUACUACUGCUGCUAAAACUACUACUACUGCUGCUACUACUAAUUCUGUUGAUUCAGGGGUCCAGGGUGUCAAAAACCCAACGAUACACAGAACAUCAGGAGCCCUUCAGCUCUGCUCUAACUGAAAAGGAAGCGGUGAUCAUACUACUUUUUUUCACUAAUUCCAUUGGUUUAUAAUAUCCUUGUUUUAUAGAUUUUAUUCAUUAAUAACACAAAACAAUUAAGGUAACAUUAAAGCGCACAAAUGUUGUUUUAACCUCACAGGAAUUUUAACGUAGGUCUUUCUCCCCCAUGUUUUGUAGCUUCCAGUUCCGUGUGUCGACGACCCGCUGGGUUUAAAUGCUGUUGUAGCUACCGAAGAUCAGACUUUCUCCAUGCCAUAUCAGCCACCUGAGAAUGUCCUCAUUGUCUUACCCAUUGUGAAUACACAUGUUUAUAUAGUUAGUACGAUCAUAUUAGUCGUAAUAUACUUAUCAUGAACGAUUUUUGUUUUGUUUUACGAUUUAAUACAAUAAAUGUCUGUAAUAAAACUGUGUGUAAUGUGUUGUUUGUGGUAAGCUAAGCCAUUAGCUAAUUAGCGACUCUGACUAUCUACCCACAUCUUUCUCCAACUCUUUACAGAAUUCAAGCUCCGUUUUAGACUUCGUGUCACCUUGGUGUUGUAAGAGCUGCUACAGCCUAUAGGAAAAUGUGUAAGGAGCAUUUUCAUAAUGGAGGUGGUGUUCACUUUAGAAUAGCUCACUUUGUCCGUUGAGAUCCGGGGCUCCAGAUGGCCACUAAAAUGGUCGCCAAUGCGACUAACUUUUUAAUUUUGCGGCCAUGUUUUUUCUGCCAGUCGCCAGUGGCCACCGUUACCCACAAACAAAACUUAAAAACAAAUAGAAAUGACCAUACGUCGUGGUGUGCUCGGCUACUGAACUCUCAUCUCCUGUUGCGCCUGCGUCUACCCGCCCUAUCACGUGCACACCCGCCCUAUCACGUGCACACCCGCCCUAUCACGUGCACACCUGCAUGGUUUCCAAUAGAUAAACUCCGCACUCUUGUCCUGCAGUGGUUGAAGCGUCAGCUGUACAGAGGAACAGAAACAGGUUUAACGUCACGUUUAUCGGGUUAAAAAGUUCGGAAGUGUUAACUCUGUUAAAGGUGUUUGAUUCGGUUCGAUCUGGUUUAGUCCGUUGGAAUGUGAAUGUAUCGAGUUAUAUGUAGGCUAGCUAACUGCGCAGUUAACUAACAUUAGCCAGCUGAGAAGAAAAAAACGAAAUGCGCAAACAAAAAAUAUCAGUAAACAAAGGCAGACAGUACAGAAGGGAAAGAAAAGGCAGUGUGAGGUAGCCGUCUACCAAUGACUACGUUUACAUGGACGGCAGUAAUCUAAUUAUUGACCUUACUCUGAGUAAGAUAAUACUGUGAUUGAGGUGUUUACAUGCGUCGCUUUUAGAAUACUCCCGUCAUGUUCCCGUUUUACAUGCUUUAGAACAUAAUUAUAUUAA
Ictalurus punctatus (channel catfish) is the source of this 2771-nucleotide long non-coding RNA. The record is from Ensembl. Lineage: Eukaryota; Metazoa; Chordata; Actinopteri; Siluriformes; Ictaluridae.